RNAcentral lists this ribosomal RNA (327 nucleotides) under Triticum aestivum (bread wheat). Its description in RNAcentral is "partial small subunit ribosomal RNA". The record is from RNAcentral. Lineage: Eukaryota; Viridiplantae; Streptophyta; Magnoliopsida; Poales; Poaceae.
AUGAGAAUUUCCAUUGACGAGUGCAAAGAAAGAACCGCUAGGAUGCGUGCUAAAAAAGAUUGCUUUGUGAAAGCGUGUUCUUCUAGUUUCCAUGGUAACAAAGAUGAAGAUCUAAAAGUUAUUGAUGUGUCCCCUAUUAAAUCUUUGUUUUGCAAUAUGAAUCUUGAUAAUGAUGGGACUGUAUAUGAGUCAACUUUAGUUAGAAGGCGUCCCAAUGAUUCAGAGUUUUUAGAUGUUGAUGCAAAAAUUGAUAAAAGUGUGAUUGGAGAGGUCAAAACUUUAAAUAUCAAUGAACCCACUAUCUUGGAUUUCAAGGAAUUUAAUUAG